Molecule: RNase P RNA, 231 nt
Filed under: Peptococcaceae bacterium
Lineage: Bacteria; Bacillati; Bacillota; Clostridia; Eubacteriales; Peptococcaceae
Description: Bacterial RNase P class A
Rfam family: Bacterial RNase P class A
About the family: Ribonuclease P (RNase P) is a ubiquitous endoribonuclease, found in archaea, bacteria and eukarya as well as chloroplasts and mitochondria. Its best characterised activity is the generation of mature 5'-ends of tRNAs by cleaving the 5'-leader elements of precursor-tRNAs. Cellular RNase Ps are ribonucleoproteins.
Source: Rfam by way of RNAcentral
GGUGAAAAGGUGAGGUAAGAGCUCACCAGCGGCCUGGUGACAGGUACGGCUAGGUAAACCCCACCCGGAGCAAGACCUAAUAGGGGAGAGUUAAGAGCUGCCCGCUCGUUCUCCCGGGUUGGUCGCUAUGCGCACUGCGGUGCGGACGAGGCCCCUGGCAACAGUGGCCCUAGACAGAUGACUGCUGCCGCGCAAGCGGUACAGAACCCGGCUUAUAGAUUCACUCGACAA